Molecule: ribosomal RNA, 1001 nt
Filed under: uncultured archaeon
Lineage: Archaea
Description: bacterial SSU rRNA
Rfam family: Archaeal small subunit ribosomal RNA
Source: RNAcentral
UAAGCCAUGCGAGUCGAGAGGUUCAAGACCUCGGCGUACUGCUCAGUAACACGUGGACAAUCUGCCCUGAAGUGGAGAAUAAUCCCGGGAAACUGGGGGUAAUACUCCAUAGUUCGUUAUUACUGGAAUGUUUUUCGAACGAAAGAUCCGUCGCUUCAGGAUGAGUCUGCGGCCGAUUAGGUAGUUGUUGGGGUAAUUGCCCAACAAGCCUGUAAUCGGUACGGGUUGUGGGAGCAAGAGCCCGGAGAUGGAUUCUGAGACACGAAUCCAGGCCCUACGGGGCGCAGCAGGCGCGAAAACUUUACCAUGCGGGCAACCGUGAUAAGGAAACCCCGAGUGCCAGCACAGGCUGGCUGUCCGCCAGUUUAAACAACUGGCGAAGAAAGGGCCGGGCAAGACCGGUGCCAGCCGCCGCGGUAAUACCGGCGGCUCGAGUGGUGGCCGCUAUUACUGGGCUUAAAGGGUCCGUAGCUUGAUAAUAGGGUCCCUUGAGAAAUCCGCCGGCUUAACUGGCGGGCGUUCAGGGGAAACUUGUUUUCUAGGGACCGGGGGAGGUGAGGGGUACUGCCGGGGUAGGAGUGAAAUCCUGUAAUCCCGGUGGGACCACCUAUGGCGAAGGCAUCUCACCAGAACGGGUCCGACAGUGAGGGACGAAAGCUGGGGGAGCAAACCGGAUUAGAUACCCGGGUAGUCCCAGCUGUAAACUAUGUGCGUUAGGUGUGUCAGUGACCACGUGUCACUGAGGUGCCGAAGGGAAACCGUGAAACGCACCGCCUGGGGAGUACGGUCGCAAGGCUGAAACUUAAAGGAAUUGGCGGGGGAGCACCACAACGGGUGGAGCCUGCGGUUUAAUCGGACUCAACGCCGGGAAUCUCACCGGAUAAGACAGCUGAAUGAUAGUCGGGAUGAAGACUCUACUUGACUAGCUGAGAGGAGGUGCAUGGCCGUCGUCAGUUCGUACUGUGAAGCAUCCUGUUUAGUCAGGCAACGAGCGAGACCCA